UAAGAAAUCAAUGAAUACCAAGAAAAGCAUCCAGAAAAUGAUGUUAGCACACUUUGUGAGUUCCUCCAGAACAUUGAGAGAGAGAGAGAGAGAGAGAGAGAGAAGGAAAUAAGGGAAUUGUAUUCAUCUAUUGCAUAUCGAAUCCAUACAUUUUAUGAUAGUGAUUUACGGAUUGACAGAGAAAUCUAACCACUGGAUUCAACUAAGGUAUAGUGGUCCAACCCAAGAAUUACCCAUACUCGGUUGCCCUUUCGUGAACCAAUCAAACACAAUAAAAGGUUUGGCCUAAUAGACUCCAAGCUAAAGACACGUACAACUAAGGAAGACAUAUGCUUCUUCCACUUCCGAGAGUCUCCAAAACCCCCAUUCUUCAUGCUUAGCUUCAGUAUGCAGAUACCUCAGGAGAAAGUGCGACAAAGUCUUCCCCCUUUUGAGCACCUUGCCACAAGGUACAGUAAUGUCGAUAGAACAAGAAUGAAGGCUAGCGAGGGAGCAUCCAGUUCAUGUCGUCAUCCUGCCCAUCUACUCAUACGUUCAUCUGACGUGAUCCAUUGAACAACCAUCAAUGCCUUUUCCAUGAUUAUUUUGCUUAAAUACUAAUAUAUCCUCCCAAUAUUUUUAAGAAGAGGUUUUGAAUUGAUCGUGAUCUAUUUUACACAUCCAUUAUGCAGAGAAGCAUAUGAUUAUUUUGUCCAAAAAAUAUAUUCAAGUGGAAGGCUCGGAUUGUCUUCCCUUCAGAACAUGACUGCAGCAAUUUGGAUGGUCACAUAUGGAGUAAUGACAGAUCUUAAGGAAGAAUAUUUGAGAAUUGGAGAAAGCAUUGCACAGUUGAGUAUGAAAAAAUUAGACGAUCGUGACAAUUUUUUUUUUGAUGAGUACUUGAGGUCUCUAAACAGUAGCGAUAUAGCACGAUUACUAGAUGUUGGACAAUGACGUGGAUUUAUAGAAGUAUUGAGAAUCAUUAAUUGCAUGCUUUGGAAAUGUAAGAAUUAUCCUAACGCUUGGAAAUGUCUCAUAAUGACAUCAACAUACUCGAUCAAUCUUCUGUAUUUGCUACACUGGCCCAAGGUCGUGCUCCUCCAUGCAACUAUUCAAUCUUCACAAGAAAGUAAGAGAAAAGAUUUUGUUACAGCCUAAAAGUCAGCAAUAAAAGAUAUGGAGUGUGUAAUUGAAGUACUUCAAGCUAGAUAUGCAAUUGAAAGACAUUAUGUACACUAGGAGUGUCAAAUCGUGUUAACGGGUCGUGUUCGUGU
Juglans regia (Persian walnut) is the source of this 1253-nucleotide long non-coding RNA. RefSeq lists it as uncharacterized. The transcript is spliced from 3 exons. The record is from RefSeq and is a predicted model, not a curated record. Lineage: Eukaryota; Viridiplantae; Streptophyta; Magnoliopsida; Fagales; Juglandaceae.